RNAcentral lists this ribosomal RNA (670 nucleotides) under bacterium E1R18print. RNAcentral's name for it is "bacterial SSU rRNA". It matches the Rfam family "Bacterial small subunit ribosomal RNA", at positions 51 to 717 of the family's 1533-position model. The record is from RNAcentral.
ACACAUGCAGUCGAGCGGUAGAGAGGAGCUUGCUCCUCUUGAGAGCGGCGGACGGGUGAGUAAUGCCUAGGAAUCUGCCUGGUAGUGGGGGAUAACGUUCGGAAACGGACGCUAAUACCGCAUACGUCCUACGGGAGAAAGCAGGGGACCUUCGGGCCUUGCGCUAUCAGAUGAGCCUAGGUCGGAUUAGCUAGUUGGUGAGGUAAUGGCUCACCAAGGCUACGAUCCGUAACUGGUCUGAGAGGAUGAUCAGUCACACUGGAACUGAGACACGGUCCAGACUCCUACGGGAGGCAGCAGUGGGGAAUAUUGGACAAUGGGCGAAAGCCUGAUCCAGCCAUGCCGCGUGUGUGAAGAAGGUCUUCGGAUUGUAAAGCACUUUAAGUUGGGAGGAAGGGCAGUAAAUUAAUACUUUGCUGUUUUGACGUUACCGACAGAAUAAGCACCGGCUAACUCUGUGCCAGCAGCCGCGGUAAUACAGAGGGUGCAAGCGUUAAUCGGAAUUACUGGGCGUAAAGCGCGCGUAGGUGGUUUGUUAAGUUGGAUGUGAAAUCCCCGGGCUCAACCUGGGAACUGCAUUCAAAACUGACUGACUAGAGUGUGGUAGAGGGUGGUGGAAUUUCCUGUGUAGCGGUGAAAUGCGUAGAUAUAGGAAGGAACACCAGUGGCG